Molecule: ribosomal RNA, 774 nt
Filed under: uncultured Neocallimastigales
Lineage: Eukaryota; Fungi; Neocallimastigomycota; Neocallimastigomycetes; Neocallimastigales
Description: partial large subunit ribosomal RNA
Rfam family: Eukaryotic large subunit ribosomal RNA
Source: RNAcentral
UCAGACGAUGCGUCAUGCAUAUCAAUAAGCGGAGGAAAAGAAACUAACAAGGAUUCCCCUAGUAACGGCGAGUGAAGCGGGAAGAGCUCAAAUUUGAAAUCUUAAAGGGUUUCCCUUUACGAAUUGUAGUUUAAAGAAGUGUUUUCUGUUGAGGUUUUGGUAAAAGUUCUUUGGAAUAGGACAUCAUAGAGGGUGAGAAUCCCGUAUUUGACCUUUACUUUCAACUUUGUGAUACACUUUCAAAGAGUCGGAUUGUUUGGGAAUGCAGUCCAAAAUGGGUGGUAAAUUUCAUCUAAAGCUAAAUAUUGGCGAGAGAUCGAUAGCGAACAAGUACCGUGAGGGAAAGAUGAAAAGAACUUUGAAAAGAGAGUUAAACAGUACGUGAAAUUGUCAAAAGGGAAGCGUUUGACACCAGUGUUGUUUUUCUGAAAAUCAAUUAAAGAACUGUUUAUGCUAAGUUGUUUAGACUUUAUCAGCUAACUGUUUAGUUUUGAGCUUUUCUUUAAUGCACUUUUCAGUUAACAAGUCAACAUCAAUUUCUUUUGCUGUAAAAAAGCUUGAGGAAGGUGGCUUGAGAUUCGUCUUAAGUGUUUAUAGCCUCUUGCCUAUGCAGUCGGAGAGAUUGAGGUCUGCAGCGUAGAUCCUUCGGGGCUAAAUGCAUUUGUGCUAAGUUAUAGCAUUUUAUAGACAACUUGUUGACUAUGAUUUGUCUUGUAGCUUACUCGCUUAUGUUAUUUUACCUACGCUUAGGAUGUUGAAUCUGUGCGAGACUAC